CCGCACACCUGGUUGAGCUUGCUUCAGUGGUGCCUGUCCCAAGAGCCCACACUCCUUGGGACGCUGGGCCUCGCUGGGCAGGGGCAUGGACCACAACGGGUGCGGUCUCCAGCAGCCCCCGUCAGGCUGGGCCUGCUGGUUGCCACAGACUUUCUCUGUGGGCCAGCUGAUAGGGAGAGGUUUGUGGGGGCUUUGGGCCCCAAGGCUGCUGCUCAGGGUGUUCUGCUGUCCCUUACUCUGCGCCAGUCCCUGAAGAGGAAGGAGAAAGAAUAUGAGCAUGAAAUGGAGCGGCUGGCACGGGAGAAGAUUGCCACGCAGCAGCGGCUGGCAGAGCUCAAGCACGAGCUGAGUCAGUGGAUGGACGUACUGGAGAUUGACCGUGUGCUGCGGCAGACGGGCCAGCCCGAGGAUGACCAGGCCUCCACCUCCACCGCCUCUGAGGGUGAGGACAACAUAGACGAGGAUAUGGAGGAGGACCGGGCGGGCCUGGGCCCACCUAAGCUGAGCCAUCGUCCCCAGCCGGAG
Molecule: small RNA, 525 nt
Filed under: Pongo abelii (Sumatran orangutan)
Lineage: Eukaryota; Metazoa; Chordata; Mammalia; Primates; Hominidae
Description: retained intron
Source: RNAcentral